RNAcentral lists this non-coding RNA (29 nucleotides) under Mus musculus (house mouse). The record is from RNAcentral. Lineage: Eukaryota; Metazoa; Chordata; Mammalia; Rodentia; Muridae.
UGUUUUUCCAUUCUAAUCUCACGAUGUCA